AUUAGACGAAUCAUCUGGAAAGAUGAAUCAAAGAAGGUAAUAAUCCUGUAGUCGAAAAUGUUGUCUCUCUUGAGUGGAUCCUGAGUACGACGGAGCACGUGAAAUUCCGUCGGAAUCUGGGAGGACCAUCUCCUAAGGCUAAAUACUCUCUAGUGACCGAUAGUGAACCAGUACCGUGAGGGAAAGGUGAAAAGCACCCCGGAAGGGGAGUGAAAUAGAACCUGAAACCGUGUGCUUACAAGUAGUCAGAGCCCGUUAAUGGGUGAUGGCGUGCCUUUUGUAGAAUGAACCGGCGAGUUACGAUUUGAUGCAAGGUUAAGCAGUAAAUGUGGAGCCGUAGCGAAAGCGAGUCUGAAUAGGGCGUUUAGUAUUUGGUCGUAGACCCGAAACCAGGUGAUCUACCCUUGGUCAGGUUGAAGUUCAGGUAACACUGAAUGGAGGACCGAACCGACUUACGUUGAAAAGUGAGCGGAUGAACUGAGGGUAGCGGAGAAAUUCCAAUCGAACCUGGAGAUAGCUGGUUCUCUCCGAAAUAGCUUUAGGGCUAGCCUCAAGUGAUGAUUAUUGGAGGUAGAGCACUGUUUGGACGAGGGGCCCCUCUCGGGUUACCGAAUUCAGACAAACUCCGAAUGCCAAUUAAUUUAACUUGGGAGUCAGAACAUGGGUGAUAAGGUCCGUGUUCGAAAGGGAAACAGCCCAGACCACCAGCUAAGGUCCCAAAAUAUAUGUUAAGUGGAAAAGGAUGUGGCGUUGCCCAGACAACUAGGAUGUUGGCUUAGAAGCAGCCAUCAUUUAAAGAGUGCGUAAUAGCUCACUAGUCGAGUGACACUGCGCCGAAAAUGUACCGGGGCUAAACAUAUUACCGAAGCUGUGGAUUGUCCUUUGGACAAUGGUAGGAGAGCGUUCUAAGGGCGUUGAAGCAUGAUCGUAAGGACAUGUGGAGCGCUUAGAAGUGAGAAUGCCGG
This 965-nucleotide ribosomal RNA is filed under the name Staphylococcus aureus. RNAcentral's name for it is "partial 23S ribosomal RNA". It matches the Rfam family "Bacterial large subunit ribosomal RNA", at positions 328 to 1300 of the family's 2925-position model. The record is from RNAcentral. Lineage: Bacteria; Bacillati; Bacillota; Bacilli; Caryophanales; Staphylococcaceae.